AAUAAUUAUGGAAGCAAGGUCUGAAGCAGCUAGUGAUGAGCUGCAGGGGGUGGGGAGGAGGUUUCAGGGCCAGACGGUCUUUACAUAGACACACUUUCGGCCUGGGUAUCAGGCAGACAGAGCUCCAUUGCCCACAUCAUCCGUUUUGGCUGGUGCUGGGUUACAAAUGACUUUAGAACACAGGGGACUGAAAUAUUUUUAUCCUGAUUGUAAGAGGAACGGGCAGCAGAACAGUGCUUAGCCGGCCCUGGCUGACGGGGUCCCCAUCCGCCGAACUGAGCUCACAAAGCAGGGGGUCGGAUGCCAGAGCCAAGUGUUGAGGGAGAAGGGACAGGGCUGGGCCAGGCCAGUUUAAAGAUAGAGGUACCUAGACUCCAUCAGGUCCACGGGCUGCUUAGAUCUGUUGUGGGGCAGCAUUUCUGUGGAAGAGGCGGCUCGGCCUGCACUAGCGGUGAGGAUCCCCCACUGAGGUCACAGUAGAGAGGCAGGAGGCAGCAGAAGGGGACGGCACAGGGCCGGCGGCGACGGAGCAGAUGGCACAGUGUGGUGAACGGUGACACGAACAACAGCAGCAGAGUGAACGACACGCAGCAGCAGCAGCAGGCAGUGAAGGCAUUGCUCAAUUCCCCCCCCCCCCCCCCGUGUGAACGCAUGUGAAGGCACCGCUGGGCUCUGGGUCUCCACAGACCAAGGACAGCAGCUUGCUGCAACCUCUGCUCGGAUCUUCUCCCAAUCUGCUUGGUUCUGGGACACUGCAAACAGAAAUGGCCUUGGGAUCAGGAGAGGGGAAAGGUUGCCACAACCAGGCUGGUGUCCUGAGUGGCCAUGUGCAGCGUGAGGAGCCCGCCUGUAACGCUAGGGGAUGGCAGCAACUGCCUGUCUCCAUGGAGAGGAAUACGUUGGUAAUGGAGGGUUUGCUGCUGACUGCCAGCUGGAUCUGUAUGUAAGCAGAGUCUGAAUGAGCUCUCCCCU
This is a long non-coding RNA of Mauremys reevesii (Reeves's turtle), 972 nucleotides long. RefSeq lists it as uncharacterized. The transcript is spliced from 3 exons. The record is from RefSeq and is a predicted model, not a curated record. NCBI's taxonomy places the organism in Eukaryota, Metazoa, Chordata, Testudines, Geoemydidae.